Molecule: non-coding RNA, 144 nt
Organism: Gossypium raimondii (Peruvian cotton)
Lineage: Eukaryota; Viridiplantae; Streptophyta; Magnoliopsida; Malvales; Malvaceae
Source: Rfam
GGUUAAAAAUUUCAUCCAUUUGUAUUGUUAAAAACUGGUGUAGCUGAUGAAAUAACUAGACAAUGAGACAUGACGUGCCACAGUACCUCAUGCUGACAUACAUGGACUAAUUUAUUUCAAUAGAAAUAGAUGAAAUUUUUAAUA